RNAcentral lists this ribosomal RNA (460 nucleotides) under uncultured bacterium. RNAcentral describes it as "partial 16S ribosomal RNA". It matches the Rfam family "Bacterial small subunit ribosomal RNA", at positions 338 to 795 of the family's 1533-position model. The record is from RNAcentral.
CCUACGGGGGGCAGCAGUGAGGAAUAUUGGUCAAUGGACGAGAGUCUGAACCAGCCAAGUAGCGUGAGGGAUGACUGCCCUAUGGGUUGUAAACUUCUUUUAUCUGGGAAUAAAGUGUUCCACGUGUGGGAUGUUGUAUGUACCAUAUGAAUAAGGAUCGGCUAACUCCGUGCCAGCAGCCGCGGUAAUACGGAGGAUCCGAGCGUUAUCCGGAUUUAUUGGGUUUAAAGGGAGCGUAGGUGGAGUGUUAAGUCAGUUGGGAAAGUUUGGGGCUCAACCGUAAAAGUGCAGUUGAAACUGGCAGUCUUGAGUACAGGAGAGGUGGGCGGAAUGCGUGGUGUAGCGGUGAAAUGCUUAGAUAUCACGAAGAACUCCGAUUGCGAAGGCAGUUCACCGGACUGCAACUGACGCUGAGGCACGAAAGUGUGGGUAUCAAACAGGAUUAGAUACCCCAGUAGUC